RNAcentral lists this small nucleolar RNA (93 nucleotides) under Phaeoacremonium minimum UCRPA7. RNAcentral describes it as "A. fumigatus snoRNA Afu_190". It matches the Rfam family "A. fumigatus snoRNA Afu_190". Lineage: Eukaryota; Fungi; Ascomycota; Sordariomycetes; Togniniales; Togniniaceae. The record is from Rfam by way of RNAcentral.
UCCUGAUGAUACCCCAGCUGGCACCAGUCAUAGGGUUUUUUGUACUCUCUCCUUUGAUGACAAACGCUGCAGGUCUAUAUGACCGUCUCUGAU